GUGAGGAAUAUUGCGCAAUGGAGGCAACUCUGACGCAGCCAUGCCGCGUGCAGGAAGAAGGCGCUACGCGUUGUAAACUGCUUUUAACCGGGAAGAAACCCCAGGACGUGUCCUGGGUUGACGGUACCGGAGGAAUAAGCACCGGCUAACCUCGUGCCAGCAGCCGCGGUAAUACGAAGGGUGCAAGCGUUAUCCGGAUUCAUUGGGAUUAAAGGGUGCGUAGGCGGAGCGUUAAGUCAGUGGUGAAAUCCUGCAGCUUAACUGUAGACUUGCCAUUGAUACUGGAGCUCUUGAGUGCGCUUGAAGUGGGCGGAAUGUGCCGUGUAGCGGUGAAAUGCUUAGAUAUGGCACAGAACACCAAUUGCGAAGGCAGCUCACUAAGGCGAUACUGACGCUGAGGCACGAAAGCGUGGGGAUCGAACAGGAUUAGAAACCCGAGUAGUCC
Molecule: ribosomal RNA, 445 nt
Filed under: uncultured bacterium
Lineage: Bacteria
Description: partial 16S ribosomal RNA
Rfam family: Bacterial small subunit ribosomal RNA
Source: RNAcentral